CCCUUAGAUGCUCUGGGCCGCACGCGCGCUACACUGGUCGAUGCAACGAGUUUCUUUCCUUGGCCGACAGGCCUGGGCAAUCUUUGAACAUCGAUCGUGAUCGGAAUAGAUUCUUGUAAUUUUUGAUCUUAAACGAGGAAUUCCUAGUAAACGCAAGUCAUCAGCUUGCAUUGAUUACGUCCCUGCCCUUUGUACACACCGCCCGUCGCACCUACCGAUUGAAUGGUCCGGUGAAAUCUCCGGACUGGCGUGAGUCGGAGCAAUCUGACAAACGCCGGAAAGUUGAUUAAACCUUACCAUUUAGAGGAAGGUGAAGUCGUANCA
Molecule: ribosomal RNA, 324 nt
Filed under: uncultured eukaryote
Lineage: Eukaryota
Description: partial 18S ribosomal RNA
Rfam family: Eukaryotic small subunit ribosomal RNA
Source: RNAcentral